ACGGGUGAGUAAUGCGUAGGAAUACACCCUAAAGAGUGGGAUAGCUUAGGGAAACUUAAGGUAAUACCGCAUAAUUUCUGAGGAAAAAAGCUGGGGACCCGCAAGGGCCUGGCGCUUUAGGUCUAGCUUACGUCCGAUUAGCUAGUUGGUGAGGUAAAGGCUCACCAAGGCGAUGAUCGGUAGCUGGUCUGAGAGGACGAACAGCCACACUGGGACUGAGACACGGCCCAGACUCCUACGGGAGGCAGCAGUGGGGAAUAUUGGACAAUGGGGGAAACCCUGAUCCAGCAAUGCCGCGUGUGUGAAGAAGGCCUGAGGGUUGUAAAGCACUUUUGUUGUGGAAGAGAGUUUAUAGGUUAAGAGCUAGUGAACUGGACGGUACAUAACGAAUAAGCACCGGCUAACUCCGUGCCAGCAGCCGCGGUAAUACGGGGGGUGCAAGCGUUAAUCGGAAUUAUUGGGCGUAAAGGGUGCGUAGGUGGUUUAAUAAGUUAGCUGUGAAAUACCUGAGCUCAACUUGGGGGUGUCAGCUAAUACUAUUAGACUAGAGUAUGGGAGAGGGCAGA
Molecule: ribosomal RNA, 566 nt
Filed under: uncultured bacterium
Lineage: Bacteria
Description: bacterial SSU rRNA
Rfam family: Bacterial small subunit ribosomal RNA
Source: RNAcentral